Paramisgurnus dabryanus is the source of this 940-nucleotide non-coding RNA. NCBI's taxonomy places the organism in Eukaryota, Metazoa, Chordata, Actinopteri, Cypriniformes, Cobitidae. The record is from RefSeq and is a predicted model, not a curated record.
UGAGGGCUAUACAGGGACACCCGAAACCGUAGGUGGCGGUAUGCACCUAUGAAGUUGCUUCGCAACCCGCCAUUAAAACUCUAAAGAAGAAGGUGCUGUGCACGGGCUCAUUUGACUACGCAUAGUACUGUAUUAGAGGUAAAAAAAAUUAUAUAAAUACUGUUCGGCUUCUCGCACAAACCGAUCGUUUCGUUUCUUAGGAUAUCAAUGUGUCGUCACGAGCGGCAGGGUUUAAUUUGGAUUUGUCUGUGCAUGUUUUUACUGUCUGAGAUUUUGUUACUAUUCACAUGCAUACAGACUGAAACGGUUGGAGUUUCUACAUUUGUGUUGUACUGAAGAAACAAAAGCACAUACAUCUUGGAUGGCCUCGGGUAUGAAGCCGAUUUCAACGGUAACUGCAGAAAGCGUCAGCACGCUCAGCUCAUCACUGGAGUAACGUCUGUACAACGGGUGAGAUAAAACUCAACGCCUGACUGAAUCAUCCAUUCCCUUUUCGAUCCUACGCCAUACGUUAAACUUGAGGUAAUCUUGCUUUUGCUGUUCUAAAAUAAACACUGCUCUUAGCACACCACCCAUACAUGGCACACAAAACAGGUCUUGUGAGGGGGCUGUGCCCACAGGUAGAAAUUCUGUAGGUCCACGGGCUUCUCCCCUUUCAGCGAACAUCACAGCGCUUAGUCCACCAUCGUGGUCUCCAAUCUCCAUUACCAACAGCCUGAGUGCUACACCUACAGACACCCCAACCCAUGCAGCAGCUGGCAGAAGUCAGACAUCAGGCCAAACUGGAUUUCAACACACCCCACCCUUACAUGGCACACAAGUAUAUGACACACAACACAGGUCUUCUCAGGAGGCUGUGCCUACAGCAAUAGGCUUUACGCCCAGCUGCACUACUUCCUGAACUUCAGCCAGCUCCUUGUUUCCUGUCUGCCAUUAUUGG